GGGCUGGGGCUCAGCGGUAGAGCACUUGCCUGGCAUGUGUGAGGCACUGGGUUCAAUUCUCAACACCCCA
This 70-nucleotide transfer RNA is filed under the name Marmota monax (woodchuck). RNAcentral describes it as "tRNA.Ala". The record is from RNAcentral. Lineage: Eukaryota; Metazoa; Chordata; Mammalia; Rodentia; Sciuridae.